This 5002-nucleotide long non-coding RNA is filed under the name Equus asinus (donkey). Its description in RNAcentral is "lncRNA (ENSEASG00005033150.1)". The record is from RNAcentral. Lineage: Eukaryota; Metazoa; Chordata; Mammalia; Perissodactyla; Equidae.
GGAGGAGCCGAGGGCUCCGGAGUUUGGCGUGAGUUGCUAUGGUCACCGGAUGCUUUAGAGCCUUCUAGAAAGCCGUGGGCUCAAAUCUGGCGGGAUUGGAAGUUACAAAGACUCUGAUGGGGCCGUCCUGGUGGUGCAGUGGUUAAGUUCACACGUUCCGCUUUGGCAACCCAGGCUUCGCCAGUUUGGAUCCUGGGCGGACAUGGCACCACUUGGCAAGCCAUGCUAUGGUAAGUGUCCCACAUAUAAAGUAGAGGAAGAUGGGCACGGAUGUUAGCUCAGACCAGUCUUCCUCAGCAAAAAGAGGAGGAUUGGUGGCAGAUGUUAGCUCAGAGCUAAUCUUCCUAAAAAAAAAAAAAAGACUCUGACCAAGGUCAAAGGACCACUGUUAUCUUACUCAACUUCUCAGCUGCAUUUGACACAGUAGACCCCUUCUUCCUCCUGGAAACAAUUUUUUUCUUAGGCUUCUGUUAUGGACAGAACUGUGUUCCCCCAAAAUUUGUAAGUUGAAGCCUUAACCCCCAAUGUGGCUCUUUUUGGAGAUAGGGCCAUUUAAAGAGGUAAAUAAGGUUAAAUGAAUUCAUAAGGGUGGGGCCCUAAUCCAAUAUGACUAGUGUCCUUAUGAGAAGAGGAAGAGCCACCAGGGAUUUGUGAGCACAGAAGAAAGGCCGUGCGAGGCAGCUGUCUGCAACCCAAAGAGAGAGGCCUCAGGAGAAAGCAAACCUGCCAGCGCCUUGAUCUUGGACUUCCAGCCUCCAGAACUGUGAGAAAAUUAAUUUCUGUUGUUGAAGUCCCACAGGCUAUGGUAUUUUGUUAUGGCAGCCCUAGCAAACUAAUGGAGCUUCUGUGUCACCACUCUUCCCUGGUUUUCUUCCCCCCUCACUAACACCUUCUCACAUCCUGUCCUACCCAGACUUGUAAAUGUUGGGGGCUCCGUCCUUUGCUCUCUCCUCUUUUCCUCUCCCUCUGCACCUUCUCUGUAGGUGAUCUCAUGGCAUCUCUAGCCCAGACCUCUCCUGAGCUCCAGGUACAUCUAUCCACCUACCUCCUGAACAGAUAUCUCAAAACUCACCUGGCUUUGGGAAGAUGAAAAAGUUCUGGUGGAGGAUGGUUGUGAUGGCUGCACAACAAUGUGAAUGUAUUUAAUGCCACUGAACUAUACACUAAAGAAUGGUUAAAUGGUAAAUUUAAUGUUAUAUAUAUUCCACCACAAUAAAAAAUUUGACUUUAUGAGACAAUUUGAAAUUUGAACUCUGACUAGAUAUUUGAUUAUAUUCAAGAAUUAUUACUUAAAAGAAAACUAACGUGGCCAACAUUAAUACUCCCCACGCACACACAAAUUAAUUCUUCCCAAAGUCAUCCCCAUUGAGUUAAAUGGCUCCUUUAAGCAGCAAUUUGCCAAAGCCCAAACCUCCACUCAUGUACCUGUUUGCACAAGCCAAAAUCUAGUCUCAUCUAAUCCAUUGGUAAGUACUGUCAGGGCUCCUCCACAAUAUAUCCUGAGUCUGUCCCCUCUCACCUUGCCAUGUGAAGCAAGGUGCCGUUACUACUCCAGCAUCAUCUCUUGCUCAGACUACUCCCACAGCUUCCUAGCUGGUCUCCUUAUCUCCUUUUUUGGCCCUUUGUAGUCCAUCCUCCACCCAGCAGCCAGAGCAAUCCUUCUAAAGGAUAAGCCAGGUCUUGUUACUCCCUUGCUUAAAAGUAGCCCUUCAUGGAUUGCCAUUGCAUUCAGGAUAAAUUCCAAAUUCCCAACCAUGGCCUCUCAGGAGUAACACCAUCAAGGCCCUGCCCACUUCUCCAGCCUCAUCUUGUCCCACACUUGCCUUCACUCACCAGGCUCCCUCCUGACGGGCUGAUUUCACUUCCUCAAAUGCCCUGUCCUAGUUCCUAGGCCUUUGGCAGCCAACUCCAUUUCAUCCAUCAAGUGUCAACCCAAAUGUCCCUUCCUCUGUGGGGCCUUUACGACCCUGAUAUACAGAGUAAUCCUCCAUCUCCUUGAUUUUUGCUUUCAAAGUGCCUUGUGCUCAUCCUCUGUAGUUACUUACUACAACUGAAAUAUGUGAUCAAGAAAUUUUGGUUCUUGAGGCCGGCCGCAUGACAUAGUGGUUGAGUUUGGCAUGCUCCACUUCAGUGGCCUGGGUUCACAGGUUCAGAUCCCGGCACAGACCUAGACCACUCAUCAGCCAUGCUGUGGUGGCAACCCAUAUAUAACGUGGAGGAAGAUUGGCACAGAUGUUAGCUCAGGGCUAACCUUCCUCAGCAAAAAAAAAGAAAAAGAAGAAAUUUUGGUUCUACAUCCAUAUCCUAUCACUGGAAUAUAAACUUCAUGAAAGAUAGCACUUGUCUGGUUCAUCCAAGCAUUCAGCUCAGAGUCUCAAAUGUUGUAGAAUCUCAAUAACUAUUUGGGGAAUGAACAAAUGGUCUUUGCCUGAUACUAUUGAAUCUUAUUAUAUAACUUAUCAAUAAAUAUUGGUAAAAUUUAUUGACUUCUUAUUAAGUGUCCAGUACUGUACCAAACAUUUUACAAACAUUAUUUGACUUAAAAUAGUGCUCCUAUGUUAUUGUCCCCAUUUGGGAGAUGAGAAAACAGGGACAGAGAAGUGAAGUCUUGUGCCCGAGGUCACACAGCUGAAAGGGUAGAGCCAGGAUUCAAACCCAUGAAGCCCAACUCCAGAGCCUGCAGACUUACCCACUUCACCUUAGAGUUCUGCCUCCCUGAAUUGGCAUUCUGAUUUUAUACAUCAGUCCCAGACGCUUGUUUGAUGUGACGCCUCCCUGAGAAACCAAGGCCUGAUCCUGGACCCUGGUGAAUUCACUAAGAUAAUAAAUGUCACCCUGGAAGGCCUCUUGGUGACCAAUCAGCCUCCCCUAAGGACCUCUGAUCCCAUCUACAUUUGAACACCACCAAUGGCAGGAAUUACACGAAGUAGAAUUUAUCAAAAUUCCUACUACAAACCUAUAAGCAGCACUACAAGUAGCAAAUACAUCUAUGUGUGAAGUGGCACGUUUAUGUAUCCUGACUAUCAGGAAUAGAACUUUUUUUUUCCUAAGGAAGAUUCACCCUGAGCUAACAUCUGAGCCAAUCUUCCUCUAUUUUGUAUGUGGGUUGCUGGCACAGCAUGGCCGCUGACAAGUGGUGUGGGUCCACGUCCGGGAACUGAAUCCAGGCCACCGAAGCAGAGCGUGCUGAACUUAACCUCUAGGUUAUGGGGCCAGCCCCAAUAAAAACUUUUUUUUGAUCAACCAUGCAAGAGGAAAGACAAAAUCAUUCUCGCUGUUGAAUUCUUACUGUAGAAUUCUCACUGUAGAUUCUCACAGUAGAAUCUCACUGUAUCCUCACUGUAGAAUUUUAUUUUUGAAAAUUGUUAACAGCUCUACUUUCUCCUCUUCCUGAAAAUUUCAAUCCUAAAACUGUUAGCAGAACAAGGUACAAGUAUGUGUCAGAAGAGAGAAGGAGCCUCAGUGGCCCAGAGCAGAAGUUAGAGUGCCAGCAGGGUGUGGAGGGUGUCUGCACAGAGAAGCCACCUGGCAUGGAGUGACAGAGCCCUAGCAGAAUGAUGAGGGUAUCCCCGAGUGGGAGGGGGCAGCCUGACACAGGUAUCAGAGCCCAAGAGGGGUGGGGAGGCAUCUCACAGGGGAGCGGGCAGCAGUGGAGAUGGGACAUUGGUUCCAAAUGGUGGCUUGAUCCAAUAAGUAAAAGAAUUAAGAAUAAUGGAAGCCAGAUUUCCGAGUGUCAGAGAAAGGAGAUAUAAAUACAGAAAGGGCGAAAACUAGAAUGAACCUCGUUUUAGUGGCUUAGAACUGCAGAUAAUGAUCUGAACUCGUGUUUUUUAGUACUAUGUAUAAAUAGAUAUAGAAAUAAAUAUAAAUGUAAGCGUGUGUGUGUGCACAUUCCCUAGCUCUGGGAGGGCCUGGGAGUAGUGACACCCUAACAGCAAUGAGCCAAUCUUGGUUUCUAAAGAUGAUUCUAGUGUGCAAGUUAUGGUUUUUAAAUGCUAUUGUAGCUUCUUGGAGUACUGGUUGAUUCCAGGGGCUUUGAAGUGAUAUCUUGUUAUACCAGAAAACAAAGGAUGUUCAAAGAAUGAUGGGCUGUGUCAAAAAAAACACAGACGCUGGCUUGAAGGAGUUCCUAUUAGCCAAAUCUGUGACAGUCUUAGCCUCAAAAUAACGAUAGUAACAGAUUACAAGCCACUGAAUAAAACAGGAGACGUUGAGUUCAUAACUAAAUACAUACAUACAUUCAAUGUGUGAGGAGGAAUAUAUACAAAGGUUCAAAAUACCUUCUCACAAAAUACUGACUCAUUACAAAGGGGAAAAGAUGAACUAUAGUGGAGAAGCUUGGCAGACAUCACCCUAAUCAAGUGACCAAAGUGAACCAUGGGACAAAUGGAAAUGUGUGCUACCUGAUAGGAUGUAUCAAGAACACAGUAUCACUUCUGUGAUAUUCCUGCUAAAGAUGCGUAGCCUGAGUAAUCACAAGGGAGCCUCCGACAAACCCAAAUUGAGAGCCAUACUACAAAAUAACAAUUCUCCAAAAGUGCCAAGGUCGUGAAAGGCAAGGGAAGACCAAGGACGCUUUCCUGACUGGCAAAGACUAAAGAGACAUGAUAAAGAAGUGCAAUGUGAGAUUCUGGACUGUGCCCUCCCACCAUCACUCACUGAAGCAUUUGGUGAAACUUAAAUAGGGUCUGAGAUUAGCUGUAAAUUUCCUGAUUUUGUUCCACGUUAAUUUCCUGAUGCUGAUGGUUAUACACUGUAUUGUGAUUAUAUAGGAGAAUGUCCUUGUUUGUAGAAAUUACACACUAAAGUAUUUGGGGGUUGUGGAGCUUCAGGUUGGAAAUUUACUCUCAAAUGGUUCAAGGUUAAACAAGUUUCCUGUACUGUACCUGUAAACUUUCUGUGUUUGUAAUGGUUUCAAAAUAAGUAUCAUUGACAUGGGAAGAGAUGAGCAAAGAGUGUGCAGCUAAAACAUGUAGGCAAAUAUUGUUAGGCAAUUGAUCAG